AUUCACAGGCCCAUUGAUUUCCCUUUCUUAAUUAACACAAGGCUCCCGAAGGCUAAUCUGAAGUUUCACACAUGAAUCUGCAAGUAUGUAAAGACAUACAUUCUCUCCAAGAACCAGAAUGAGAAUCUGCAAAGCUGAAGAGAAAACAUCCCUUCAUCUCUGUACUUGUGAUGCCUGAGAAGGAGCAAGUAUUUCACGAAUGUUUGUGGAGUAAAGAAAAAUUAUCAAGUCCUUUGAGAAAUGACUGCAGGAGAGGUAGGAGCAAUCGUUACUUUCUCCUGGGAGCCUGGAAGCUGCCUUGCCCCCACACUUCCCCUGUGUACUCCUCUUCACUUCUCACUGUGAAAAGGCAAAAUAAAAUGGAGAAGGAAAAGUGGAUGAGUGGAAGGUAAAAGGUCAAAGGUGAGUUACAAUUGAGUCUUCAGAGUUCAGCAGUUAGUGAAGUAAAGAGAAAAAGAGAAUGUACCAGUCCACCACAGAAGACCCCAGGAAACCCACAGCAGCCUUUGGGUACUUCCUCAGGGGAGGGGGCAAGCAUAAGAAUAACAGGGAGUUUAAAAUCCUGCUAAACUAUUUCUUCGCAAAGCUGUAUUUACUUUCUGAAGUGCCUGCUAUCAGUGCCCUAUAAUCAUAGAAUCAAAAAGGAAGAAAAAUGUUUAUUUUCAUGCAGUUGCUGCCUAUUACCAUGAAUGGAAAUAUAUUUAAUACCGAUGUUUUCCUGGUGGUCCAUAUAACUUUUAUUUCUUCUACCGAAAGAAGAAUAAAAAUUAAGCCAUCCAAAGCAAAGCACCUUUUCUGAAUUUCAAGUAGACAGCUAGGCAGCACCAGAAGCUGUUAUAAAUGGGUACUCCACAGGAAUUCAGAUAAACCAAGAUGGAUUUCCUCAAACAUGUUUGCUUACAAAACCCUUUAAUUCUUAAUUCUUUCUCUCCUUCUCUCUCCUUUACACACACACACACACACACACAAACAUACACAUGCACACACACACACACACACACACACACAGCAUGUGCUCUGUUACCUGCAGAGUUGAUAUUAUAAUAAACCAGGAUGUCAAACACAGGGGAAAGUGCAUACAAAGAGUGUUUUAAAGACAAAACUUCACCAGGGUCUUCAGCAAUCUUGUUUUCUGCUGAAUUUGAGAUGUCAGAAGAGAACAUUUCUCCCUUGUCUCCCGUAAGAAUGACUCUAUUUGUUCUUUUUCAGGGACCCCCUCAAGGGUCCUGUCCCAGAACAAAAUGAAAAAUGACGCUUUAUUUUUCACAGUCUCUUUUGUCAAGAAGUUCACGACGCUUUAGGAAACUGGUCUCAUAAAUCUUCAAGACACUCUUGAGAGGUAGAAAGCAAUGGUUUCACCCCCAUUAUACAGGUGAGGAAACUGAGGUAUAGCAGCAGAGGAAGAGUAACUUGCCAGGGCCUUUAAUAACAGUCUGAAAAACAGCAGAUUUUCUCUCUUCCAAGUCAGCCCC
Pan paniscus (pygmy chimpanzee) is the source of this 1472-nucleotide long non-coding RNA. The record is from Ensembl. Lineage: Eukaryota; Metazoa; Chordata; Mammalia; Primates; Hominidae.